CCUACGGGAGGCAGCAGUGAGGAAUAUUGGUCAAUGGGCGCGAGCCUGAACCAGCCAAGUCGCGUGAGGGAAGACGGCCCUACGGGUUGUAAACCUCUUUUGCCGGGGAGCAACGGGCGCCACGUGUGGCGCCACUGAGAGUACCCGGAGAAAAAGCAUCGGCUAACUCCGUGCCAGCAGCCGCGGUAAUACGGAGGAUGCGAGCGUUAUCCGGAUUUAUUGGGUUUAAAGGGGGCGCAGACGGCGAUGCAAGCCAGGAGUGAAAGCCCGGGGCCCAACCCCGGGACUGCUCUUGGAACUGCGUGGCUGGAGUGCAGGAGGGGCAGGCGGAAUUCCUGGUGUAGCGGUGAAAUGCGUAGAUAUCAGGAGGAACACCGGUGGCGAAGGCGGCCUGCUGGACUGCAACUGACGUUGAUGCUCGAAAGUGUGGGUAUCAAACAGGAUUAGAUACCCGGGUAGUC
RNAcentral lists this ribosomal RNA (461 nucleotides) under uncultured bacterium. Its description in RNAcentral is "partial 16S ribosomal RNA". It matches the Rfam family "Bacterial small subunit ribosomal RNA", at positions 338 to 795 of the family's 1533-position model. The record is from RNAcentral.